This 1484-nucleotide ribosomal RNA is filed under the name Muscodor sp. SMH1255. RNAcentral describes it as "eukaryotic LSU rRNA". It matches the Rfam family "Eukaryotic large subunit ribosomal RNA", at positions 24 to 1155 of the family's 3401-position model. Lineage: Eukaryota; Fungi; Ascomycota; Sordariomycetes; Xylariales. The record is from RNAcentral.
UACCCCCGUUGAACUUAAGCAUAUCAUUAAGCGGAGGAAAAGAACCCAACAGGGAUUGCCUUAGUAACGGCGAGUGAAGCGGCAACAGCUCAAAUUUGAAAUCUGGCUCUAGGGCCCGAGUUGUAAUUUGCAGAGGAUGAUUUUGGCGCGGUGCCUUCCGAGUUCCCUGGAACUGGACGCCUUAGAGGGUGAGAGCCCCGUACGGUUGGACACCAAGCCUCUGUAAAUCUCCUUCGACGAGUCGAGUAGUUUGGGAAUGCUGCUCUAAAUGGGAGGUAAAUUUCUUCUAAAGCUAAAUACCGGCCAGAGACCGAUAGCGCACAAGUAGAGUGAUCGAAAGAUGAAAAGCACUUUGAAAAGAGGGUUAAAUAGCACGUGAAAUUGUUGAAAGGGAAGCAUUUACUACCAGACCUUCUCCCUGCGGAUCAUGCGGUGUUCUCACCGCUGCACUUCGCUUGGUUUAGGCCAGCAUCGGUUUUCGUAGGGGGAUAAAAGCUCUAGGAACGUAGCUCCCUCGGGAGUGUUAUAGCCUUCUGCAUAAUACCCCUCCGGGGACCGAGGACCGCGCUUUUGCAAGGAUGCUGGCAUAAUAAUAGUCAAUGACCCGUCUUGAAACACGGACCAAGGAGUCGAACAUUUGUGCGAGUGUUUGGGUGUUAAACCCUCACGCGUAAUGAAAGUGAACGUAGUGAGAGCUCUUGCGGGCGCAUCAUCGACCGAUCUUGAUGUCUUCGGAUGGAUUUGAGUAAGAGCAUAACUGUUCGGACCCGAAAGAUGGUGAACUAUGCGUGGAUAGGGUGAAGCCAGAGGAAACUCUGGUGGAGGCUCGCAGCGGUUCUGACGUGCAAAUCGAUCGUCAAAUCUGCGCAUGGGGGCGAAAGACUUAUCGAACCAUUAAGCCAGCGGUAAAAAUACUUACUAGGUGGUUAAGAGGCCCUCUGCAAGGAGAGAAAGGCCUAGGUGAUCUACCCUGGAAGAUGCUACCCUGCACUUCUGGGUGGGCUACCGACAUCGCUAAAUUGCGGGAACAUCCCACUGUGAGGCUAGGGGUUACCGCCGCCUGCUGAAAAGCCCGGCGGCACUGGGAGUAGCGCUCUCAGGUGUGGUAAGAACGCCCCUAGUAUCGGACGACCUGCAGCCAACCCCGCACUUCAGGGGAGGGUUCACAGACUAGACAGCGGUGGGUCAGCCGUUGCUGGCCUAAGACAUAGUCGAUCCGGGGCCUGAAAAGGUGCCCUACAGCGUGGCAUAUAGGUGCCACAGCGGUAGAGCUAGUAGCUGGUUACCGCCGAAGUUUCCCUCAGGAUAGCAGUGUUGAUCUUCAGUUUUAUGAGGUAAAGCGAAUGAUUAGGGACUCGGGGGCUAAUUUUUGCCUUCAUCCAUUCUCAAACUUUAAAUAUGUAAGAAGCCUUUGUUACUUAAUUGAACGUGGGCAUUCGAAUGUACCAACACUAGUGGGCCAUUUUUGGUAAGCAGAACUGGCG